GGAGAAGCUGGUGCGCUUUGUCGCAGAGCAGCACUCCUGGCCCAGGACCCAGAGAAGCCGAAAGAGGAGAUCCAGCGGGGGCCGAGGAAGCUGAGGCCUGGCUGCUGCCUGACACUAACAAGAUUUCUCCUGUGGCUCGGAGUUCUACGUGCAUGGAAGAGAAUUCUGGGAAAGAUUGUUUCAGCUUGGCUAAAUCGACGGGGUGCAAAGUAGUCACCACAUGGGGAGACAGUGGGUGAUUUCAACCAUGAACCACUUUCUCCUUAUGACCUGUGGGAUCUGGAUGGCCUUUCCCUUCCACAAGAUAUCACACUGGUCCAUUACAUUGAUGACCCCAUGGGGACUGGACCCAGUGAGCGAGAGGUAGCAACUUCUCCAGACUUACUGAGAAGAAAUUUGUGUGUCAGAGGGUGGGAAAUAAAUCCAACUAAAAUUCAGGGGCUUUGUACCUCAGUGAAAUUUCUAGAGGUCAGUGGUGUGGAGCAUGUCGAGAUAUC
This is a long non-coding RNA of Balaenoptera acutorostrata (minke whale), 497 nucleotides long. RefSeq lists it as uncharacterized. The record is from RefSeq and is a predicted model, not a curated record. The transcript has 3 exons. NCBI's taxonomy places the organism in Eukaryota, Metazoa, Chordata, Mammalia, Artiodactyla, Balaenopteridae.